UGGGGAAUUUUGGACAAUGGGCGCAAGCCUGAUGCAGCCAUGCCGCGUGUAUGAAGAAGGCCUUCGGGUUGUAAAGUACUUUCAGCGAGGAGGAAGGCGGUAAGGUUAAUAACCUUAUCGAUUGACGUUACUCGCAGAAGAAGCACCGGCUAACUCCGUGCCAGCAGCCGCGGUAAUACGGAGGGUGCAAGCGUUAAUCGGAAUUACUGGGCGUAAAGCGCACGCAGGCGGUCUGUCAAGUCGGAUGUGAAAUCCCCGGGCUCAACCUGGGAACUGCAUUCGAAACUGGCAGGCUAGAGUCUUGUAGAGGGGGGUAGAAUUCCAGGUGUAGCGGUGAAAUGCGUAGAGAUCUGGAGGAAUACCGGUGGCGAAGGCGGCCCCCUGGACAAAGACUGACGCUCAGGUGCGAAAGCGUGGGGAGCAAACA
Molecule: ribosomal RNA, 427 nt
Filed under: uncultured bacterium
Lineage: Bacteria
Description: partial 16S ribosomal RNA
Rfam family: Bacterial small subunit ribosomal RNA
Source: RNAcentral